RNAcentral lists this transfer RNA (83 nucleotides) under Thermoclostridium caenicola. Its description in RNAcentral is "tRNA-Leu". It matches the Rfam family "tRNA". From Rfam's summary of the family: Transfer RNA (tRNA) molecules are approximately 80 nucleotides in length. Their secondary structure includes four short double-helical elements and three loops (D, anti-codon, and T loops). Further hydrogen bonds mediate the characteristic L-shaped molecular structure. tRNAs have two regions of fundamental functional importance: the anti-codon, which is responsible for specific mRNA codon recognition, and the 3' end, to which the tRNAs corresponding amino acid is attached (by aminoacyl-tRNA synthetases). tRNAs cope with the degeneracy of the genetic code in two manners: having more than one tRNA (with a specific anti-codon) for a particular amino acid; and 'wobble' base-pairing, i.e. permitting non-standard base-pairing at the 3rd anti-codon position. RNAcentral also lists the same sequence under 3 other names. The record is from RNAcentral. Lineage: Bacteria; Bacillati; Bacillota; Clostridia; Eubacteriales; Oscillospiraceae.
GCGGUCGUGGUGGAAUUGGCAGACACGUACGUUUGAGGGGCGUAUGCGCGAGCGUACCGGUUCAAGUCCGGUCGACCGCACCA